AACCUCCAGAAUCUUCAGUCUGAUUAGAGGAAAUAUUGUUGAUAACAGCACCAGAUGAAUUCUUAAAUUUGAAUCCAGGUGGAAAUCCAUGUUUUCUAUAGCAUGUUUCCUCUGUAUGCCUUGGUCUGCCACAAUAUGUGCAAACCUUAUUAUCAUUCUGCGAACCAGAUUUCCUGUUAUUCACUGAUUGAACAGCAGUACCUCUCCCAAACACAUUCUUUUGAAAAUUACUCUGCUUUGUAGGCACAUUAUUCUGAAAAUUAUUGGUUCUGUUAACCAAAAUUUUAGAUUCAACAAGUAAUCCAGAAUUCAGUUGCCUUUCUUGUUGAAUCACUAAGGAAAACACCUUAUUAAUUGAAGGUAGAGACUCUAGCAACAUGAUCUGUGAUCUGACUGUAGUAAACUGAUCAUUCAGUCCUUUUAGAAACCUAAUGACAUAAUCAUUGUGUCUAUAGGUUUUGACAAUAGUAAGAGCACCACAGGAACAAUGAGUGCGACAAGAACAUUGUGGAAUUGGCCUGAAAUUCUCUAAUUCAUCCCAUAGAAUCUUUAAUUGAGUGAAAUAAUCUGUGACAGAAAGAUCACCUUGUUUAAAGGCAUAAAUUUCUUCUUGAAGAUCAGAUAUGCGAAAAAUAUCUCCUUGAGAGAAUCUAUCUUGGAGAUCCUUCCAAACUUCUACAGCAGUAUCAAUCCACAAGAUGCUUUGUGCGAUAGAAUGUGAUAAAGAAUGAGUUAUCCAAGAUAAUACCAUAGUGUUGCAUCUUUCCCAAGCUGAGAACAAUGGAUCUGUGCUUGCUGGCAUUUUCAAUGUUCCAUCGAUGAAUUUCACUUUAUUCUUAGAUUGCAAUGCCAUCUUCAUAGCUCUUCCCCAGGAAUGAUAAUUGGAACCAGUAAGAACCGGUGAAACAAGCACCAAAGCUGGAUUUUCAUUGGGAUGAAGAAAGAAAGGAUUUGAUGGAUUGGUCAAGUGAUCAGGAACUUGAUUUUGUGAAGGAAUGCUGGAUUCAAUAGCCAUAGCAGAUAAGAUCAGAUGAACAAAGUAACUGAUAUCAAUGAAAAAAAAUAACUGUCGAAGAAUAGAUCUGAGAUCUGUGAAUAGAGAAGAAUCAAGAGAACAAUAGCUAUUGCUCUGAUACCAUAACGAGAAAUGAAAGUGGAACUGAAAUCUUGAUCAUUCAUUAAUCAAUCAUCUGUUAUAUACAAGUCAGUGACUAACAGAAGCUAACUUUGAAAACUAACUAACAGAAUUUAAAACUAAUUAACAGAAUAAGUU
RNAcentral lists this unclassified non-coding RNA (1273 nucleotides) under Hevea brasiliensis (rubber tree). The record is from RNAcentral. Lineage: Eukaryota; Viridiplantae; Streptophyta; Magnoliopsida; Malpighiales; Euphorbiaceae.